Molecule: ribosomal RNA, 400 nt
Filed under: uncultured bacterium
Lineage: Bacteria
Description: bacterial SSU rRNA
Rfam family: Bacterial small subunit ribosomal RNA
Source: RNAcentral
GGGGAAUAUUGCACAAUGGGGGAAACCCUGAUGCAGCGACGCCGCGUGAGUGAAGAAGUAUUUCGGUAUGUAAAGCUCUAUCAGCAGGGAAGAGAAUGACGGUACCUGACUAAGAAGCCCCGGCUAACUACGUGCCAGCAGCCGCGGUAAUACGUAGGGGGCAAGCGUUAUCCGGAUUUACUGGGUGUAAAGGGAGCGUAGGUGGCAAAUCAAGUCAGAUGUGAAAGCCCGGGGCUCAACCCCGGGACUGCAUUUGAAACUGAUAUGCUAGAGUGCAGGAGAGGUAAGUGGAAUUCCUAGUGUAGCGGUGAAAUGCGUAGAUAUUAGGAGGAACACCAGUGGCGAAGGCGGCUUACUGGACUGUAACUGACACUGAGGCUCGAAAGCGUGGGGAGCAAAC